RNAcentral lists this long non-coding RNA (1819 nucleotides) under Ananas comosus (pineapple). RNAcentral's name for it is "long non-coding RNA (ACOM_LNC035494)". Lineage: Eukaryota; Viridiplantae; Streptophyta; Magnoliopsida; Poales; Bromeliaceae. The record is from RNAcentral.
UAUAGAAAGAUAGUGAUGGUUUGGUUUUCUCUCUCAAAUAAAUUAAAAAAAGGAAAACUUUAAAUAUCCUCUCUGUAGUUUCACAGUUUCUUAUUUUAGUACCAUAUGGUUUAAAAUGUAUUAAGUUAUAUAGUACCUUAUGGUUUCGCACUUUCUCACUUUAAUACCCCGUGGUUUAAAGUGUGUCAAGUUAGUAUUCUGUGAUUUAUUUUUGUAUCUAGUACCCUAUGGUUUUAUUUUUCUCUUUUAAUUAUUCAUUUCGGAGUUUUUUUUUCAUUAAAUUAAUGACAAAGUUAAAACUAAAGGGUACUAAAAUGAAUAUUCGAUAAACCUGGGUAGGGUAUCUGAAGUUUUUUGUAUAUAAUUUAACGAAAUAUUAAACCACAGGGUACUAAAGUGAGAAAGUGCAAAACCACAGGGUACUAAUUUAAUACAGUUUAAACCACAGGGUAUUAAAGUGAGAAAUUAUAAAACCACAGAGUACUAACUUGAUACACUUUAAACCACAGGGUUCUAAAGUGAGAAACGGCGAAACUACGGGGCGUAUUUGAAGUUUUCCCAUUAAACAAAGGUAAUGGUUUGGUUUGGACCACUAACAAAACAUUCCUUAAUAGAUUAAAUAAGGAGAAAACAUUAACCAAAAAAAAAUCCUCCUGCAAAGAAUCUAGAGGUUAAACAAAAGAAAAAAUUUCAAAUAUCAUUUAUGUGAUUUCGCACUUUUUCACUUUAGUAUCCUAUAUUUUAAAAUGUAUCACUUUCGUACCUUGUGAUUUUAUUUUUCUCUUUCUGUUAUCUCUCCACUAAUUUUUUUGUUAAAUCAGUGACAAAAUUAAAACUAAAGAAUGUUAAAGUAAAUAUUGGAUAAACCAUAAGCAGGAUAUUUGAAAUUUUUUGUAUAUGAUUUAAUGAAAAGUUAACAGAGAGGGUGAUGAAAAGAGAAAAAUGAAAUCACAGGAUGCUAAAUUGAUACACCUUAAACCGCAGGGUACAAAAAUGAGAAACUGUGAAACCACAUAAAUGGUAUUUGAAGGUUACCCUAAAUAAAAAGGUACAUAAAAUAACUAUUGUUAAAUAUAGAAACAUUAUUGUUUACUGGUUUAAGUUUUUGAAGAAUACUUAUUUUUUUAUAUAAUUUUACAUAUUAUCAAAGUAUGAAGUUUUAAACUCGGAUCAUGUUAGGCUCCUAUUAUUUUUUAUUUUUUUUCACUUAUUUAAUUCAAGUCUAAUCUAAACAUAAGAAAGAGUGUUAAAUAUAAAGGGAUAAUUGCCUAUAUACUCCUAAUGCGUCUGAAAAUAUCCGAUCUACCCCUACUUUUUUUUUCUUUCUAAAAUGCCCCUCAUAUGUUCCACCGUUAUUUCAAAAUACCCCCGCAGUUAUCUCCUGUUAGCUUAACUCAAGUUAAACAUCGAUUAAAUGUAUACUAGAGUUAAAACCUAUAUAAAAUACCUAUUUUACCCCUACCUUAUUAUGCUAAUGUCUUAAGUUAUCCUCUUUCUCUCUCAACUUAAUCGCCGGCUCCUCCGCCUCCACCUCGCCUCAUCUCCUUCUAGACCACGGGUGAGGAUGACGCCCGCCGCCUCCCAGACCACAGGCGGGGACCUGCGGCGGCCCGGCGGAGGAGGAGGAGGGGUGCCGCGACGACGCGGCGGCGCUGCGGCUGAAGCUGGCGGCGAUGGCGGCGAUCCUGGUGGCUGGGAUGGUGAGCGUGGCGAUCCCGUUGGCGGCAGAGGAGGAGGAAAGGUGUCGCGACGACACGGCGGCGUUGCGACUGAAGCUGGCGGCGAUGGCGGCGAUCUUGGUGGUGGGGAUGGUCGGCGG